RNAcentral lists this ribosomal RNA (459 nucleotides) under uncultured bacterium. RNAcentral's name for it is "partial 16S ribosomal RNA". It matches the Rfam family "Bacterial small subunit ribosomal RNA", at positions 338 to 795 of the family's 1533-position model. The record is from RNAcentral.
CCUACGGGCGGCAGCAGUGAGGAAUAUUGGUCAAUGGGCGAGAGCCUGAACCAGCCAAGUAGCGUGCGGGAUGACGGCCCUACGGGUCGUAAACCGCUUUUGCCCGGGAGUAACACCCUCCACUUGUGGAGCUCUGCAAGUACCGUACGAAUAAGGACCGGCUAAUUCCGUGCCAGCAGCCGCGGUAAUACGGAGGGCCCGAGCGUUAUCCGGAUUCAUUGGGCUUAAAGGGAGCGUAGGCGGACGUGCAAGUCAGCGGUAAAAUUGCGGGGCUCAACCGCGCACCGCCGUUGAAACUGGACGCCUUGAGUGCACAAGAGGCAGGCGGAAUUCGUGGUGUAGCGGUGAAAUGCAUAGAUAUCACGAGGAACCCCGAUUGCGAAGGCAGCAUGCCGGGGUGCGACUGACGCUCAGGCUCGAAGGCGUGGGUAUCAAACAGGAUUAGAUACCCGUGUAGUC